Molecule: ribosomal RNA, 457 nt
Filed under: uncultured bacterium
Lineage: Bacteria
Description: bacterial SSU rRNA
Rfam family: Bacterial small subunit ribosomal RNA
Source: RNAcentral
GACGAACGCUGGCGGCGUGCUUAACACGUGCAAGUCGAACGGGAGUAUUGAAGAAGCUUGCUUUAGAGAUACUUUAGUGGCGGACGGGUGAGUAACGCGUGAGGAGCUGUCCUAUGCAGGGGGACAACAGCUGGAAACGGCUGCUAAUACCCCAUAAGCCGAGAGGUAAAAGGAUCAAUCCGGCAGAGGAGGUACUCGCGUCCUAUCAGCUAGUAGGUGAGGUAACGGCUCACCUAGGCGAAGACGGGUAGCCGGCCUGAGAGGGCGAACGGCCACACUGGUACUGAGACACGGACCAGACUCCUACGGGAGGCAGCAGUGGGGAAUCUUCCACAAUGGGCGAAAGCCUGAUGGAGCGACGCCGCGUGAGCGAAGAAGGCCUUCGGGUUGUAAAGCUCUGUCUGGAGGGACGAAGGAAGUGACGGUACCUCCGGAGGAAGCCACGGCUAACUACGUG